GACGGUUUGGCCGAGUGGUCUAAGGUGCCAGAUUUAGGCUCUGGUUCGAAAGGGCGUGGGUUCAAAUCCACAGCGUCA
Molecule: transfer RNA, 78 nt
Filed under: Ipomoea nil (Japanese morning glory)
Lineage: Eukaryota; Viridiplantae; Streptophyta; Magnoliopsida; Solanales; Convolvulaceae
Rfam family: tRNA
About the family: Transfer RNA (tRNA) molecules are approximately 80 nucleotides in length.
Source: Rfam by way of RNAcentral